RNAcentral lists this ribosomal RNA (468 nucleotides) under uncultured bacterium. RNAcentral describes it as "SSU rRNA". It matches the Rfam family "Bacterial small subunit ribosomal RNA", at positions 26 to 518 of the family's 1533-position model. The record is from RNAcentral.
AGGACGAACGCUUGCGACGUGCCUAAGAAAUGCAAGUCGAACGGGGUAGCAAUACCUAGUGGCGAACGGUCGCGUAACACGUGGGCAACCUGCCUUGAAGCGGGGGACAACAAUCCGAAAGGGUUGCUAAUACCGCAUGUGAACUUUUGUGGCAUCACGAAAUGUUCAAAGCUUUAUGCACUUCAAGAUGGGCCCGCGGCCUAUCAGCUAGUUGGUGGGGUAACGGCCUACCAAGGCUUCGACGGGUAGCUGGUCUGAGAGGACGAUCAGCCGGAUUGGGGACUGAGAUACGGCCCAGACUCCUACGGGGGGGCAGCAAUUAGGAAUCUUGCGCAAUGGGGGGCAACCCUGACGCAGCGACGUCGCGUGGAGGAUGAAAUCUUUCGGGAUGUAAACUCCUUUUACCAGGGAAGAAAAAAUGACGGUACCUGGUGAAUAAGCCCCGGCUAACUACGCGCCAGCAGCCGC